GACGUAGGGCGCGAGCGUUGUCCGGAUUUAUUGGGCGUAAAGAGCUCGUAGGCGGUUCGGUAAGUCGGGUGUGAAAACUCUGGGCUCAACCCAGAGCCGCCACCCGAUACUGCUGUGACUUGAGUUCGGUAGGGGAGCGGGGAAUUCCUGGUGUAGCGGGGAAAUGCGCAGAUAUCAGGAGGAACACCAGCGGCGAAGGCGGCGCUCUGGGCCGGUACUGACGCUGAGGAGCGAAAGCGUGGGGAUCAAACAGG
Molecule: ribosomal RNA, 254 nt
Filed under: uncultured bacterium
Lineage: Bacteria
Description: partial 16S ribosomal RNA
Rfam family: Bacterial small subunit ribosomal RNA
Source: RNAcentral